CUCUCUGAGGUGCAGGCUGUGCCUUGCUGAUCUCUGAAGUCCCUGACCCAGCACUUAGCACCUGUGAUGUGCAGCAAGCCACAGGAGGUCUGAGCUCACAGUGGAGGGCACAGGAUCGUGAGAGAUGGAGCAAGUGCUGGGGGUCUGCUGGCACAUGGUGUCCAAGGUGUGGGUCCUCCACAGUGGGCAGCACACACUUUACUCCCGGAUCUGCAUCGGGGAAAGUGGGAGGCCAUCUCUGCACCACAGGUGUCUGCUGGGGUGAGGGGUAGCCCCAGGUCCCUGGCUGUCACACUAGAGCUGCGCUGACUGUGGGUGGGCUCAGCAGGCACCUCCGCGGGCUUCCUGGGCUUCCUCAGAGUGGCAGCUCCUUCUCCAGAGCAAUUAUCCCAAGCAGGAAAUCAGGGCUGAGCCGAGAGGCCAGACAAAGCAGAGCCUCCGUCCCUGCCUCCGUGGCUAAGCAGGCCCUGGCCACCAGAACGAGGCCCUCUGUUAUUCCCCAGCAAGGGGCCUGAGUUCAAGAGCUACCCAGCCCCGCUGGCUGGUGCUGGCUGAGCAGCUACCCUCCCUUGAACGCUGUGUUCUGGAGGUGUUGGAGCGCCACUCAACAAAAACACCUUCUUUGGUUUUCAUUUUUCCCAGAUCUGUCUGUCGCAGGGCAAAAUGCCCCCUGUAGGCUACACAACUUUUUAACCAAAGUUUCUCCCCAAAGGAGAGAGGAGGAGCCUAUAUUUGGGGAAGCUUGCAGAGCCCCUGGAGGAAAGGGCACAGACUCCUGUUCCCACUUCCCUGACCCCGGACUUCUUGGGGUGCUCUGGUCUGACAGUGGCAGACACUCUGCAGCUCAGCACAGACAGGAAGCUGCCCCGCCUUCGCC
Molecule: long non-coding RNA, 877 nt
Filed under: Marmota monax (woodchuck)
Lineage: Eukaryota; Metazoa; Chordata; Mammalia; Rodentia; Sciuridae
Source: RNAcentral